GAUGAACGCUGGCGGCGUGCCUAAUACAUGCAAGUCGAGCGAACAGAUGAGGAGCUUGCUCCUCUGACGUUAGCGGCGGACGGGUGAGUAACACGUGGAUAACCUACCUAUAAGACUGGGAUAACUUCGGGAAACCGGAGCUAAUACCGGAUAAUAUAUUGAACCGCAUGGUUCAAUAGUGAAAGACGGUUUUGCUGUCACUUAUAGAUGGAUCCGCGCCGCAUUAGCUAGUUGGUAAGGUAACGGCUUACCAAGGCAACGAUGCGUAGCCGACCUGAGAGGGUGAUCGGCCACACUGGAACUGAGACACGGUCCAGACUCCUACGGGAGGCAGCAGUAGGGAAUCUUCCGCAAUGGGCGAAAGCUUGACGGAGCAACGCCGCGUGAGUGAUGAAGGUCUUCGGAUCGUAAAACUCUGUUAUUAGGGAAGAACGAAUGUGUAAGUAACUAUGCACGUCUUGACGGUACCUAAUCAGAAAGCCACGGCUAACUACGUG
Molecule: ribosomal RNA, 497 nt
Filed under: uncultured bacterium
Lineage: Bacteria
Description: partial 16S ribosomal RNA
Rfam family: Bacterial small subunit ribosomal RNA
Source: RNAcentral